CAUAUAAUAUAAGUAAGGAUUCUCAGUACAAAAUUAUUCCAUUCGGAUCUUUGAGGAAAACGGUCAACAUGAAAUAUUUUACGUUUGCUGUAGUUUGCAUUGCUAUAUCAAUAUUAGUAACUGAAAACCAAUGCUUCCCGCAACAAGUUGAAGUGUCAACAUAUCAGGUUCGAGUAGACGAAGUUACAGAGACGCAAGACUAUCAGGGGACAGAAGAUGAAGUGUUAGAAUCUGUAUUAAAUGCAGGUUGUCCCGAAGACAAAGUAAGAGUUGGCGAAGUUUGCACAGCGGAACAAUAAAAGAGGAAUUUCAUUUUUCUGUAGGUGAUGGGUUGCCGUCGCAGCAGGAAAGCGACUGAAGAUAUCCAUCCGAUAGACCACCAUCGUCUUCAACGUUCAAGUUCUUCAACCUCAGUAAAUAAAAUAAAAUGAAAA
Trichoplusia ni (cabbage looper) is the source of this 434-nucleotide long non-coding RNA. RefSeq lists it as uncharacterized. The transcript is spliced from 2 exons. NCBI's taxonomy places the organism in Eukaryota, Metazoa, Arthropoda, Insecta, Lepidoptera, Noctuidae. The record is from RefSeq and is a predicted model, not a curated record.